GACGAACGCUGGCGGCGUGCUUAACACAUGCAAGUCGAACGGAAAGGCCCUGCUUUUGUGGGGUGCUCGAGUGGCGAACGGGUGAGUAACACGUGAGUAACCUGCCCUUGACUUUGGGAUAACUUCAGGAAACUGGGGCUAAUACCGGAUAGGAGCUCCUGCUGCAUGGUGGGGGUUGGAAAGUUUCGGCGGUUGGGGAUGGACUCGCGGCUAAUCAGCUUGUUGGUGGGGUAGUGGCUUACCAAGGCUUUGACGGGUAGCCGGCCUGAGAGGGUGACCGGCCACAUUGGGACUGAGAUACGGCCCAGACUCCUGCGGGAGGCAGCAGUGGGGAAUAUUGCACAAUGGGCGGAAGCCUGAUGCAGCAACGCCGCGUGCGGGAUGACGGCCUUCGGGUUGUAAACCGCUUUCGCCUGUGACGAAGCGUGAGUGACGGUAAUGGGUAAAGAAGCACCGGCUAACUACGUG
RNAcentral lists this ribosomal RNA (468 nucleotides) under uncultured bacterium. RNAcentral's name for it is "partial 16S ribosomal RNA". It matches the Rfam family "Bacterial small subunit ribosomal RNA", at positions 28 to 507 of the family's 1533-position model. The record is from RNAcentral.